AGUGAAUGCUGGCGGUAGGCCUAACACAUGCAAGUCGAACGGCAGCACAGUAAGAGCUUGCUCUUACGGGUGGCGAGUGGCGGACGGGUGAGGAAUACAUCGGAAUCUACUUUUUCGUGGGGGAUAACGUAGGGAAACUUACGCUAAUACCGCAUACGACCUACGGGUGAAAGCAGGGGAUCUUCGGACCUUGCGCGAUUGAAUGAGCCGAUGUCGGAUUAGCUAGUUGGCGGGGUAAAGGCCCACCAAGGCGACGAUCCGUAGCUGGUCUGAGAGGAUGAUCAGCCACACGGGACUGGAGACACGGUCCAGACUCCUACGGGAGGCAGCAGUGGGGAUUAUUGGACAAGGGGCGCAAGCCUGAUCCAGCCAUACCGCGUGGGUGAAGAAGGCCUUCGGGUUGUAAAGCCCUUUUGUGGGGAAAGAAAAGCAGCAGGUUAAUACCCCGCUGUUCUGACGGUACCCAAAGAAUAAGCACCGGCUAACUUCGU
Molecule: ribosomal RNA, 491 nt
Filed under: uncultured bacterium
Lineage: Bacteria
Description: partial 16S ribosomal RNA
Rfam family: Bacterial small subunit ribosomal RNA
Source: RNAcentral